Molecule: ribosomal RNA, 429 nt
Filed under: bacterium
Lineage: Bacteria
Description: partial 16S ribosomal RNA
Rfam family: Bacterial small subunit ribosomal RNA
Source: RNAcentral
UAGGGAAUCUUCGGCAAUGGGGGCAACCCUGACCGAGCAACGCCGCGUGAGUGAAGAAGGUUUUCGGAUCGUAAAGCUCUGUUGUAAGAGAAGAACGUGUGUGAGAGUGGAAAGUUCACACAGUGACGGUAACUUACCAGAAAGGGACGGCUAACUACGUGCCAGCAGCCGCGGUAAUACGUAGGUCCCGAGCGUUGUCCGGAUGUAUUGGGCGUAAAGCGAGCGCAGGCGGUUUAAUAAGUCUGAAGUUAAAGGCAGUGGCUUAACCAUUGUUCGCUUUGGAAACUGUUAAACUUGAGUGCAGAAGGUGAGAGUGGAAUUCCAUGUGUAGCGGUGAAAUGCGUAGAUAUAUGGAGGAACACCGGUGGCGAAAGCGGCUCUCUGGUCUGUAACUGACGCUGAGGCUCGAAAGCGUGGGGAGCAAGCAGG